AUUGAACGCUGGCGGCAUGCCUUACACAUGCAAGUCGAACGGCAGCACGGGUGCUUGCACCUGGUGGCGAGUGGCGAACGGGUGAGUAAUACAUCGGAACAUGUCCUGUAGUGGGGGAUAGCCCGGCGAAAGCCGGAUUAAUACCGCAUACGAUCUACGGAUGAAAGCGGGGGACCUUCGGACCUCGCGCUGUAGGGGUGGCCGAGGGCUGAUUUGCUGGUUGGUGGGGUAAAGGCCUACCAAGGCGACGAUCAGUAGCUGGGCUGAGAGGACGACCAGCCACACUGGGACUGAGACACGGCCCAGACUCCUACGGGAGGCAGCAGUGGGGAAUUUUGGACAAUGGGCGAAAGCCUGAUCCAGCAAUGCCGCGUGUGUGAAGAAGGCCUUCGGGUUGUAAAGCACUUUUGUCCGGAAAGAAAUCCUUGGCCCUAAUACGGUCGGGGGAUGACGGUACCGGAAGAAUAAGCACCGGCUAACUACGUG
This 486-nucleotide ribosomal RNA is filed under the name uncultured bacterium. RNAcentral describes it as "partial 16S ribosomal RNA". It matches the Rfam family "Bacterial small subunit ribosomal RNA", at positions 29 to 507 of the family's 1533-position model. The record is from RNAcentral.